Non-coding RNA from Selaginella moellendorffii, 89 nucleotides. The record is from Rfam. Lineage: Eukaryota; Viridiplantae; Streptophyta; Lycopodiopsida; Selaginellales; Selaginellaceae.
GGGUCUUGGGAUAUUUUGGAGUUAAGCGUCCUUGGGUUUGAAUAGUACUGGGCUGGGUGACCUCCCGGGAAGUCCAAAUUCAGGAGUUU